GCCUGGGUAGCUCAGUUGUUUAAGCGUCUGACUUCGGCUCAGGGCACAAUCUCACAGUUCGUGGGUUUGAACCCCGCAUCAGGCU
RNAcentral lists this transfer RNA (85 nucleotides) under Felis catus (domestic cat). It matches the Rfam family "tRNA". Rfam says of the family: Transfer RNA (tRNA) molecules are approximately 80 nucleotides in length. Their secondary structure includes four short double-helical elements and three loops (D, anti-codon, and T loops). Lineage: Eukaryota; Metazoa; Chordata; Mammalia; Carnivora; Felidae. The record is from Rfam by way of RNAcentral.